AGUGAACGCUGGCGGUAGGCCUAACACAUGCAAGUCGAACGGCAGCACAGUAAGAGCUUGCUCUUACGGGUGGCGAGUGGCGGACGGGUGAGGAAUACAUCGGAAUCUACUUUUUCGUGGGGGAUAACGUAGGGAAACUUACGCUAAUACCGCAUACGACCUACGGGUGAAAGCAGGGGAUCUUCGUACCUUGCGCGAUUGAAUGAGCCGAUGUCGGAUUAGCUAGUUGGCGGGGUAAAGGCCCACCAAGGCGACGAUCCGUAGCUGGUCUGAGAGGAUGAUCAGCCACACUGGAACUGAGAAACGGUCCAGAUUCCUGCGGGAGGCAGCAGUGGGGAAUAUUGGACAAUGGGCGCAAGCCUGAUCCAGACAUACCGCGUGGGUGAAGAAGGCCUUCGGGUUGUAAAGCCCUUUUGUUGGGAAAGAAAAGCAGCAGGUUAAUACCCCGCUGCUCUGACGGUACCCAAAGAAUAAGCACCGGCUAACUUCGUG
This 492-nucleotide ribosomal RNA is filed under the name uncultured bacterium. RNAcentral's name for it is "partial 16S ribosomal RNA". It matches the Rfam family "Bacterial small subunit ribosomal RNA", at positions 29 to 507 of the family's 1533-position model. The record is from RNAcentral.